This 497-nucleotide ribosomal RNA is filed under the name uncultured bacterium. RNAcentral's name for it is "partial 16S ribosomal RNA". It matches the Rfam family "Bacterial small subunit ribosomal RNA", at positions 28 to 507 of the family's 1533-position model. The record is from RNAcentral.
GACGAACGCUGGCGGCGUGCCUAAUACAUGCAAGUUGAGCGAUGAAGAUUGGUGCUUGCUCCAAUUUGAAGAGCAGCGAACGGGUGAGUAACGCGUGGGGAAUCUGCCUUUGAGCGGGGGACAACAUUUGGAAACGAAUGCUAAUACCGCAUAACAACUUUAAACAUAAGUUUUAAGUUUGAAAGAUGCAAUUGCAUCACUCAAAGAUGAUCCCGCGUUGUAUUAGCUAGUUGGUGAGGUAAAGGCUCACCAAGGCGAUGAUACAUAGCCGACCUGAGAGGGUGAUCGGCCACAUUGGGACUGAGACACGGCCCAAACUCCUACGGGAGGCAGCAGUAGGGAAUCUUCGGCAAUGGACGAAAGUCUGACCGAGCAACGCCGCGUGAGUGAAGAAGGGUUUCGGAUCGUAAAACUCGGUUGGUAGAGAAGAACGGUGGUGAGAGUGGAAAGCUCAUCAAGUGACGGUAACUACCCAGAAAGGGACGGCUAACUACGUG